RNAcentral lists this ribosomal RNA (324 nucleotides) under uncultured soil bacterium. RNAcentral describes it as "bacterial SSU rRNA". It matches the Rfam family "Bacterial small subunit ribosomal RNA", at positions 26 to 354 of the family's 1533-position model. The record is from RNAcentral.
AGAUUGAACGCUGGCGGCAGGCCUAACACAUGCAAGUCGGGCGGCAGCACGGGUACUUGUACCUGGUGGCGAGCGGCGGACGGGUGAGUAAUGCCUAGGAAUCUGCCUGAUAGUGGGGGAUAACGUUCGGAAACGGACGCUAAUACCGCAUACGUCCUACGGGAGAAAGUGGGGAUCUUCGGACCUCACGCUAUCAGAUGAGCCUAGGUCGGAUUAGCUAGUUGGUAGGUAAAGCCUACCAAGGCUACGAUCCGUAACUGGUCUGAGAGGAUGAUCAGUCACACUGGAACUGAGACACGGUCCAGACUCCUACGGGAGCAGCGA